GGGGUGGGGACAGAUGCGUUCUUCCGAGAGAAGCGUUUUGGUUUCGUUUUGACUUUCUCUUGUGCCAGACUCCCUAACCGACUAGACGAGCUAGAGUCCACCGCCUCUAAUUUUUCUAGAUCUCCCUGAUCCCUCGCUUCUGCUCCGACGCGCCCAUCAUUUUCUAUCCUCGCCGCCGUCCUCUUACUUCCCGGCGACGUGCUCAUCACCAGCUUGCACACCUCCACCUUCUAUGGUCACCUUUUGUCUGACUUACCUCCAGACAAAGGGAAUUUGCAUCCACCUUCGGCGUCCCCAACAUCGGCGGUGUCCAAGAAGAACCCCUCUGCCAAUCGCUGAGAGAACCCCUCCCAGAAGAUGGCAAGACGCGGGUGGAAGAGGUCGGUGCACGAGCGCCUCCACAAGAUUAGUUGAGUGGAGAAUAGGCAGCGACACACACCAGGGAUUCGUCUCGGUCGUUUCCCCCCAUCUUGGCCGGUUCAUAUCUUUCUCCGGUAAGUAUCCUCCGCAUACCUUCCUGCAAGCAGCUGGGUGUGCGUGGGGCUUAUCCUACGCAAAUCUUUGCACCAUAGUGUUUCCUAUUCCAGGAAACGAUUCUUUUUAGAUUGGGGAGUGAUACUGCGAAUAACAAGAGCGAGAAACCCUGUGAACGAUUCUUGUUUAGGUUUGGAGCGCUACCGCAAAUAACAAGAGCGAGAACGCGUUGGUGCGGGGUGGGGAUUAGAUCUUGAAUUGGGGAUUUGCUGACGUUUUCAAAGGCUUCAAAAAUUUCCAAUCAAUCGGCAGAGCCAAUAAUGAUUAAGAUGCCAUUGUGUAUUUUUUUUAAACAACAGUGUUUUCUUUCUUAGGUGAAGUGUAUUUUUAAGGAAAAUAAUAUUGAAAUAGGUUUUUAUAUUUGGGCGUCAAUGGCAUUCUAAAUUGUUUGAUCCCAUAAGGCAUUCUAAAUCCACGGAAUCCAUUCUAUUCUAUGGCAUGUCUUACUAUGCUUCGUUGUCUCUGAACUUUGCCAUUUGGUCAUGUAAUCUCCAAGUUCAAAAGAACUCCGUUGACCAGAUGUGGUUUCUGUUUAAUAUGUCCAUGGGAAUUUCUGAGUGUCUGAUCCAUUUGGUAGCAGCCUACUCUGAGGUCUGCGGGUGCCGGACUGCCGGUGCAUAAAAUUCUUUUAUAGGGUUGCAUCAAUGGUAGUAGCGGCACUUGCACUUGUUAAUCUGAGGCAUGUUCUCUCUUAAUAAAUAGAAUUAGGAACCUUUUGUCUCCGUUUUGAGAAACUCUAGGAUUGUUUUGUGUCGGCACAAAUUGUUCCUGCAUAAUUGUCCUAGGCUUAAGUUUGGAUCUUUUUACCCGCCCUUACAGCGACCUUUCUCUCCUUUCCUCCAAUGACAAGAUCGAUGCAUUGCCGAAGUCCUAUUCAGACAUCAACACCCCAAAAGAAAGUUCCGAAGUUAAGUCAACCAGCGAUCAACAUUGAAAUUUCCAUUCAACGAUUAAUAGCUAGAAUUAGGAUUCUUGAUCCCUCUCAAUCUCUCUUUUAAUUCGAGGAUCCAGAGAGGUGCUAAUGUUCCUUUAUUCCAUAUGUGGGGAGUGUCAUGAUGAAACAAAAACUGUUUAUUCUUACCACGACUGAAAGACCAAAUAAUCAGUGUCUACCUACACAACGAGUUAGAUGUACAGCCAGAGGUGUGAUAUAUAUGCUCUAUCUUUUACAAGCAUGUGCAAAACAACAGGUAUAUUGGCAGCCUUUCAAGUCAUUUGUACCCUAGACUUGCCAUUAGUUGUACCUCAUUCCAUUGCUGAAAUGUCAAUUCACAUUUUCUUAUAGUAAAAUAGUUCUGCACUUCUGUAACCUUGACUCGGUGAAGGUUUAACUUGAAAGUGCAUAUCUAUUUCCUGGUUACACCAUAUUCAAAAUUCCUGACUGAAAUCUGAUAAGAACGGAUACAAAGGUUGUUCGGUAUGAGCCUAAACGUAUGAGCCUACAACUGAACAUGCCAUGACCAUUUUGACUGGGAAAGUGUAUUCUUAUAAGUUUAUGGUAUGAUUAGAAGUUUUGAAGGGUUAACUUAAUUGCUUGUGUUGUAAGUACAAUGUGACUAUCUUUGUAGUUAUUUGGGAACCAUGCGCGGUAUCUAGACAACCUUCAGAAUAUGAGAUUUGCAAGUUAGAGAAGUUUUAUCUCCUGAAGAGAAAGUUAGCAACCUCAGCUAAAAAUAGUCACCUGUAAAUGCCUUCUAGCUUCUAUUUCGAGAAACUUAUUUACACGAGGACAGACUAAUUAUAUGAUAUGACGUAUUCAUAAUUUCAUAUGCCCCUGAUCAUUAUUUCACGUUGGCUGCUGUUUUCCAGCAGUAGGAGGACCCAUGAGAUAGCUAAGUUAAUGAUUUCUUUUUUGUUCUUCAGUUUCGGGUUCAUUGAUUUCUUAUGUUUAGUUGUCAUCUUAUAAAAAAGAGAGGCAUGCUAUCCACAACAAUUUGUACUUAUAUUAGGUAUUGGUGUUAUAUAUAGGGAUCCUAAUUAGCUUACUCCUAAAUCACAAUUGUUACUAUAUCUCAUGAACAAUUAUGCUCUAUACCAAAAUUGUCACUGUCACGUCUGUUAUUGUUCCGAAUUAUCUUUGCAACUAUGUUGAUUAAUUAAUUACUUGUAUUUUCUUAACUAUAAGAAAUAUAGAAUAUUUUGGCCUUCCAUCCACAGUUGCUUCAUGCAGAAGCUGGUAAAAGGAUGAUAUCAUUUGCAACACCAUCAAGAGUAUGGCUUCAACUUUAUUACAUUACUCAAAAUGUUUGCCAGUCACAUCUAUGUUGUGACUAUCUAAAUCAUGAUAGUUGCAGUUCACAACAGGUGUGUUGUGACCAUUAAUUAUGCCUUGCACAUGAAUGACACCUAUGCAUGUGUAAAUGUCAAUAUUUUAGUUAUCAUUGCCAAGGUGGAGCUACCAUGAUUUUCCUUUUUGACGUAUAUGUACGAAUUCAGAUGGGUAACCCACUGUCCAUAAGUUGUUCAUUAUCCUGAAGAUAAAAUGGGUAUAUAUUAAAUAUCAAGGUUGUUAUGGCUGGAAACUUUGAGGUGGUCAUUAAGAUUUCAACUAGAUAAUUUCACACAGCACAUACUGUAUCUUAUAAUCAUAUUUUUGUUUCCACGCCAUGAAUGUUGUAAAGUGGCUGGAGACUUUGAGGUGGUCACUAAGACUUUAUAGUGAGAAUGUUAUUUCCCAUGCAGUGCAAUGACAAAAUACUGAAAGCCGAUGGUGCCUGAAAGCCCAUGGAGUUUUCUUCACAUACAACUAGCUGUGUUGCAAUCAAUAUUAGUACUUCGGUCUGGAAUUUAGCCAUCACCCAGAAUGCCCUUUUAUUCUAACUCAUGGCAUUUUGUAUAUAGUUUGUUAUGCACAUCCUGCAUGGAUCUCUAACUCAACAGAGACCCUUAGAACCAUUACAGUAUCACUGCAUGCUCAUUCUGCACUUUCGUUGCUUAGGAAAACUAAUGGUUCAAACCAUCUUCUUAUCGUUGUAUCCUCCUAGAAAAAUCUUUGGUCACAAGGAUACUUACAUAUAUAUACCUGGAAUCUGAGAUAGAUGCUUGAUGUAAACUGCCAUUAUAGUAGGCAGUGCAGUAAAAGGGCCAGAAUUUAUAUUCUUCUUAAUAAUGCUAAUAUUCACUCAUGAUUUUAUGGUUUUGUUUUCAGACCAUAAUAAAUUUGAAGGAAGAAAUUCCAUUUGGUGCCGAUGACCAAAUCAUACAUAAUAAUAGAUCUAUUUGCUAGCUGGGAAGAAAUUGAAGGGGGCCACCUUUACACGCAAUAGGAAGUACGUGUGAGAGGAAGUAGUGGUCUAACUCUCGGCUCACCAGGAUACAUAUUAUUACAAAAAAAAAAUGGAAGUAGUGGUCUAACUCCCGGCUCACCAGCAUUUGACAAAGAAGAUUGCAUGUCGCCUAUGUUUUUAUCUUAUUAUCAUACUUGAGAUAUGUUGAUGUUUGCAUGUCCUGUAUUACACAUCUCAGGCAUUGCAACUACAGACCACACUUUUUGCUUCUGUUACAUCUGUCCGCUGAUUGCACUUUUUUGGAAGUGGAUUACAGUCAAAGCCUUUGUUCACUACAGAUAUUAUUUGAUUACAUUUUUUUGAACUUACAUAGAAAAAUACUUUGCUCAGAAUUACCGAGCCAAUGCAGUGACUUCUCAUAUGCCAGAUAAUUGUGACACCCAAUAGUGAAAUCAUCUCAUCAUCAAUCUUUUCUCUUCUCUACCAAGAGGUGACCAUGGGCCGACUAAGGGUGUUUGGAGCAGAGAACAUCCUUUUGUGUCCAGAACUAACUUUUAUUGCAGUUGUUUUGCCCACUUCAUGAGACGAAUGUGGACUUGUGAAUCGAGGUUCGUGGUUGCGGUCAUGUGAGAAUUGGGAGAGGCAUGCUUUUCACAUCAAUGUGUAGUUGAGAUAUCAGGUAUAGGUGUUUAAAAAAUCAGGGGUCGUAAUUGGCUCAUUCCUAUACCGCAUUGUAUCUCAUGAACAAUUGUGCUAUGUACCACAAUAUAUUGUCGUUGUUGUUUCACAUCA
This is a long non-coding RNA of Lolium perenne, 4553 nucleotides long. RefSeq lists it as uncharacterized. The record is from RefSeq and is a predicted model, not a curated record. NCBI's taxonomy places the organism in Eukaryota, Viridiplantae, Streptophyta, Magnoliopsida, Poales, Poaceae.